CAGUCGAGCGGAUGUAAGGGAGCAUUGCUCCUGGAUUCAGCGGCGGACGGGUGAGUAAUGCCUAGGAAUCUGCCUGGUAGUGGGGGAUAACGUCCGGAAACGGGCGCUAAUACCGCAUACGUCCUGAGGGAGAAAGUGGGGGAUCUUCGGACCUCACGCUAUCAGAUGAGCCUAGGUCGGAUUAGCUAGUUGGUGGGGUAAAGGCCUACCAAGGCGACGAUCCGUAACUGGUCUGAGAGGAUGAUCAGUCACACUGGAACUGAGACACGGUCCAGACUCCUACGGGAGGCAGCAGUGGGGAAUAUUGGACAAUGGGCGAAAGCCUGAUCCAGCCAUGCCGCGUGUGUGAAGAAGGUCUUCGGAUUGUAAAGCACUUUAAGUUGGGAGGAAGGGCAGUAAGUUAAUACCUUGCUGUUUUGACGUUACCAACAGAAUAAGCACCGGCUAACUUCGUGCCAGCAGCCGCGGUAAUACGAAGGGUGCAAGCGUUAAUCGGAAUUACUGGGCGUAAAGCGCGCGUAGGUGGUUCAGCAAGUUGGAUGUGAAAUCCCCGGGCUCAACCUGGGAACUGCAUCCAAAACUACUGAGCUAGAGUACGGUAGAGGGUGGUGGAAUUUCCUGUGUAGCGGUGAAAUGCGUACAUAUACGAAGGAACACCAGUGGCGAAGGCGACCACCUGGACUGAUACUGACACUGAGGUGCGACAGCGUGUGGAGCACACACGAUUAGAUACCCUGGUAGUCCACGCCGUACACGAUGUCGACUAGACUUUGGCGAUCCUUGAGAUCUUAGUGGCGCAGCUUACGCGAUAAUUCGACAGCCUGGUGAGUACGGCCGCCCCGGUUGAAACUCCCAUGAAUUGACUGGCGGCUCGCUCAAACAGCUGAAGCAUGCGGUUUAACUCCGAAGCAACGCAUAAAAACUUUACCUGCUCUUGAUAAUGCUGAGAACUUUCCAGAAAAUGAAUCGGUGGCUUUCUCUAAUUGAUAACAA
This 993-nucleotide ribosomal RNA is filed under the name Pseudomonas aeruginosa. RNAcentral's name for it is "bacterial SSU rRNA". It matches the Rfam family "Bacterial small subunit ribosomal RNA", at positions 59 to 1037 of the family's 1533-position model. Lineage: Bacteria; Pseudomonadati; Pseudomonadota; Gammaproteobacteria; Pseudomonadales; Pseudomonadaceae. The record is from RNAcentral.